UCCGUGCGCCCUCUCUCUUUUGCCGAAUGCGAUAGCGAUGAGAGGCACGGCUAGACCAGAGAUUCGCCAUUUAUUAUCUGAUGGUGUCUGUUUCAAUACAGUGAUUGGAGAAUACAGAAGCUGGAAGUAAAUCAUACGACAAUUGUACCAACGUGUGGAGUCUUUUCAUUUAAAAACAUACACAACGCAGAGCGAACCCACUACAAAUUGGUGCCGUGACCCAUCGUUUGGUUU
Molecule: long non-coding RNA, 234 nt
Organism: Silurus meridionalis
Lineage: Eukaryota; Metazoa; Chordata; Actinopteri; Siluriformes; Siluridae
Exons: 3
Source: RefSeq, a predicted model, not a curated record